GUUUCUUAGGUGAUUGCAGCAAAUUUCAAGGUGAGGGAAAAGCCCAUCACAGCUUUCCCAACAAAAAUUGUCAUUUGCAACUUUGCUUCAUUUCAAAGGGAUGCUGAGGCAAAGGU
This 116-nucleotide long non-coding RNA is filed under the name Ictidomys tridecemlineatus (thirteen-lined ground squirrel). RNAcentral's name for it is "lncRNA (ENSSTOG00000031001.1)". Lineage: Eukaryota; Metazoa; Chordata; Mammalia; Rodentia; Sciuridae. The record is from RNAcentral.